UGGGAAGUCGUCUAACGGUAGGACCGCAGUUUCUGGAACUGCUUAUCUAGGUUCGAUUCCUAGCUUCCCAG
Molecule: transfer RNA, 71 nt
Filed under: Minisyncoccota bacterium
Lineage: Bacteria; Bacillati; Minisyncoccota
Description: tRNA-Gln
Rfam family: tRNA
About the family: Transfer RNA (tRNA) molecules are approximately 80 nucleotides in length. Their secondary structure includes four short double-helical elements and three loops (D, anti-codon, and T loops). Further hydrogen bonds mediate the characteristic L-shaped molecular structure. tRNAs have two regions of fundamental functional importance: the anti-codon, which is responsible for specific mRNA codon recognition, and the 3' end, to which the tRNAs corresponding amino acid is attached (by aminoacyl-tRNA synthetases). tRNAs cope with the degeneracy of the genetic code in two manners: having more than one tRNA (with a specific anti-codon) for a particular amino acid; and 'wobble' base-pairing, i.e. permitting non-standard base-pairing at the 3rd anti-codon position.
Source: RNAcentral